GGGUUAAGUCCCGCAACGAGCGCAACCCUCGCCAUUAGUUGCCAUCAUUAAGUUGGGGUCACUCUAGUGGGACUGCCGGUGAUAAGCCGGAGGAAGGUGGGGAUGACGUCAAGUCAUCAUGGCCCUUAUGGGCUGGGCUACACACGUGCUACAAUGGCGGUGACAAUGCGCAGCCACCUAGCAAUAGGGAGCUAAUCGCAAAAAGCCGUCUCAGUUCGGAUUGGGGUCUGCAACUCGACCCCAUGAAGUCGGAAUCGCUAGUAAUCGCGCAUCAGCACGGCGCGGUGAAUACGUUCCCGGGCCUU
RNAcentral lists this ribosomal RNA (305 nucleotides) under uncultured Hyphomicrobium sp. Its description in RNAcentral is "bacterial SSU rRNA". It matches the Rfam family "Bacterial small subunit ribosomal RNA", at positions 1077 to 1382 of the family's 1533-position model. The record is from RNAcentral. Lineage: Bacteria; Pseudomonadati; Pseudomonadota; Alphaproteobacteria; Hyphomicrobiales; Hyphomicrobiaceae.